GCUUACGGCCACACGGCCGCCUGAGUACGCCUGAUCUCGUCCGAUCUCGGAAGCUAAGCAGGGUCGGGCCUGGUUAGUACUUGGAUGGGACCGCCUGGGAAUACCAGGUGCUGUAAGCU
RNAcentral lists this ribosomal RNA (119 nucleotides) under Oncorhynchus mykiss (rainbow trout). Lineage: Eukaryota; Metazoa; Chordata; Actinopteri; Salmoniformes; Salmonidae. The record is from RNAcentral.